Molecule: ribosomal RNA, 682 nt
Filed under: Frigoribacterium sp.
Lineage: Bacteria; Bacillati; Actinomycetota; Actinomycetes; Micrococcales; Microbacteriaceae
Description: bacterial SSU rRNA
Rfam family: Bacterial small subunit ribosomal RNA
Source: RNAcentral
CGAUGAAAGGGAGCUUGCUCCCUGGAUUAGUGGCGAACGGGUGAGUAACACGUGAGUAACCUGCCCUUGACUCUGGGAUAAGCACUGGAAACGGUGUCUAAUACCGGAUACGAACUUCAGCCGCAUGGCUAGGAGUUGGAAAGAAUUUCGGUCAAGGAUGGACUCGCGGCCUAUCAGCUAGUUGGUGAGGUAAUGGCCCACCAAGGCGACGACGGGUAGCCGGCCUGAGAGGGUGACCGGCCACACUGGGACUGAGACACGGCCCAGACUCCUACGGGAGGCAGCAGUGGGGAAUAUUGCACAAUGGGCGCAAGCCUGAUGCAGCAACGCCGCGUGAGGGACGACGGCCUUCGGGUUGUAAACCUCUUUUAGUAGGGAAGAAGCGAAGUGUUUUACACGGAGUGACGGUACCUGCAGAAAAAGCACCGGCUAACUACGUGCCAGCAGCCGCGGUAAUACGUAGGGUGCAAGCGUUAUCCGGAAUUAUUGGGCGUAAAGAGCUCGUAGGCGGUUUGUCGCGUCUGCUGUGAAAACUGGGGGCUCAACCCCCAGCCUGCAGUGGGUACGGGCAGACUAGAGUGCGGUAGGGGAGAUUGGAAUUCCUGGUGUAGCGGUGGAAUGCGCAGAUAUCAGGAGGAACACCAAUGGCGAAGGCAGAUCUCUGGGCCGUAACUGACGCUGA